RNAcentral lists this transfer RNA (76 nucleotides) under Brucella pinnipedialis. Its description in RNAcentral is "tRNA-Ala". It matches the Rfam family "tRNA". Rfam says of the family: Transfer RNA (tRNA) molecules are approximately 80 nucleotides in length. Their secondary structure includes four short double-helical elements and three loops (D, anti-codon, and T loops). RNAcentral also lists the same sequence under 1 other name. The record is from RNAcentral. Lineage: Bacteria; Pseudomonadati; Pseudomonadota; Alphaproteobacteria; Hyphomicrobiales; Brucellaceae.
GGGGCCGUAGCUCAGUUGGGAGAGCACCUGCUUUGCAAGCAGGGGGUCGUCGGUUCGAUCCCGUCCGGCUCCACCA